AGUGAACGCUGGCGGUAGGCCUAACACAUGCAAGUCGAACGGCAGCACAGUAAGAGCUUGCUCUUACUGGUGGCGAGUGGCGGACGGGUGAGGAAUACAUCGGAAUCUACUUUUUCGUGGGGGAUAACGUAGGGAAACUUACGCUAAUACCGCAUACUACCUACGGGUUAAAGCAGGGGAUCUUCGGACCUUGCGCGAUUGAAUGAGCCGAUGUCGGAUUAGCUAGUUGGCGGGGUAAAGGCCCACCAAGGCGACGAUCCGUAGCUGGUCUGAGAGGAUGAUCAGCCACACUGGAACUGGGACACGGUCCAGACUCCUACGGGAGGCAGCAGUGGGGAAUAUUGGACAAUGGGCGCAAGCCUGAUCCAGCCAUACCGCGUGGGUGAAGAAGGCCUUCGGGUUGUAAAGCCCUUUUGUUGGGAAAGAAAAGCAGCAGGUUAAUACCCCGCUGUUCUGACGGUACCCAAAGAAUAAGCACCGGCUAACUUCGUG
RNAcentral lists this ribosomal RNA (492 nucleotides) under uncultured bacterium. RNAcentral's name for it is "partial 16S ribosomal RNA". It matches the Rfam family "Bacterial small subunit ribosomal RNA", at positions 29 to 507 of the family's 1533-position model. The record is from RNAcentral.